This 77-nucleotide transfer RNA is filed under the name Acidobacteriota bacterium. RNAcentral's name for it is "Acidobacteria bacterium (sponge metagenome) tRNA-Pro". It matches the Rfam family "tRNA". From Rfam's summary of the family: Transfer RNA (tRNA) molecules are approximately 80 nucleotides in length. Their secondary structure includes four short double-helical elements and three loops (D, anti-codon, and T loops). RNAcentral also lists the same sequence under 5 other names. Lineage: Bacteria; Pseudomonadati; Acidobacteriota. The record is from RNAcentral.
CGGGACGUGGCGCAGUCUGGUAGCGUACCUGAAUGGGGUUCAGGGGGUCGCGAGUUCGAAUCUCGCCGUCCCGACCA